RNAcentral lists this ribosomal RNA (379 nucleotides) under uncultured eukaryote. RNAcentral's name for it is "partial 18S ribosomal RNA". It matches the Rfam family "Eukaryotic small subunit ribosomal RNA", at positions 592 to 975 of the family's 1831-position model. The record is from RNAcentral.
CAAUAGCGUAUAUUAAAGUUGUUGCGGUUAAAAAGCUCGUAGUUGGAUUUCUGCUGAAGGCAGCCGGUCCAUGUUCGACAUGCGCAUCUGGAUUGACUUCGGCAUCCUCUCAGAUAACGAUUCUGUGCUUGAUUGUAUGGAGCGGAGUUUGAGACUUUUACUUUGAGGAAAAUAGAGUGUUCACGGCAGGCAAUCGCCCUGAAUAUAUUAGCAUGGAAUAAUAAAAUAGGAUCUUGGUUCUAUUUUGUUGGUUUCUAGAACGAAGAUAAUGAUUAAUAGGGACAAUUGGGGGCAUUCGUAUUAACGCGUCAGAGGUGGAAUUCUUGGAUUGCGUUACGACGAACUACUGCGAAAGCAUUUGCCAAGGAUGUUUUCAUUG